CUUUAAAAACCAUAAAAAAAUAAUUUUUCCCUUAGGGGAACAAAAAAAAAGGUGGUGCAUGGUUUUUUUCAUCUCUUUUUGUAAAAUUUUGGUUUAACCCCCCCAAGGAGCCCACCCCUUUCUUUUAUUCCCCAACAUUAAGUUGGGCAUUUUAAGGAGACUCCCGGUUUCAAACCGGAGGAAGGUGGGGAUGACGUCAAAUCCUCAUGCCCCUUAUGUCCAGGGCUACAAACGUGCUACAAUGGCCGGUACAAAGGGUUCCAAAACCGCGAGGUGAAGCCAAUCCCAAAAAACCAUUCUCAGUUCGGAUUGUAUUCUGCAACUCGACUCCAUGAAGUCGGAAUCGCUAGUAAUCCCGGAUCAGCAUGCCGCGGUGAAUACGU
This 383-nucleotide ribosomal RNA is filed under the name uncultured bacterium. RNAcentral's name for it is "partial 16S rRNA". It matches the Rfam family "Bacterial small subunit ribosomal RNA", at positions 989 to 1371 of the family's 1533-position model. The record is from RNAcentral.